GAUGGGGAGGGGGAGAUUUAGGAAAGGAGGAGCAUUGA
Molecule: ribosomal RNA, 38 nt
Filed under: Boletus auripes
Lineage: Eukaryota; Fungi; Basidiomycota; Agaricomycetes; Boletales; Boletaceae
Description: partial 18S ribosomal RNA
Source: RNAcentral